GAUGUACACCCCGCUUGGAACAGGGCAGUGGAAAAACAAACAGCUUCGCAGGAGGAGAUGGAGUCUAAACACCAGCUCAUUUCACCCGCCCCUUGUUGAUCACCCAAGCACGUGUCCGCCUCCGGGUCUGACUCUAGAUUUUCCUGCACCAACUACCUGUGAUCCACUUCACCUGUUUUUGAGGGUGUGAGGACUGUUCCAGGAGCUAUGAUGGCUAGUGAUUGUUCAAACCUGACAUCGUAGAUUGAGCCCACCUGACAUCACUCCCCCCCAUAACUGGUUACCUCCCCCUACCCGGGGAGUGAAGACUGCUGACCUGGCCUGCCUAUCGAUGUUUUCCACGCAUGGUGGGGUGUUGUUCCAGGACAUCGCUUCAGACAGGUGAGGCAGGUGAAUGUGCCAGCCUGAUGUCAUUCGCCCUGUAACUGGUAACCUACAUAC
Non-coding RNA from Odocoileus virginianus texanus, 441 nucleotides. The record is from RefSeq and is a predicted model, not a curated record. NCBI's taxonomy places the organism in Eukaryota, Metazoa, Chordata, Mammalia, Artiodactyla, Cervidae.